UGGGGAAUAUUGCACAAUGGAGGGAACUCUGAUGCAGCGACGCCGCGUGAGUGAUGAAGGAAUUCGUUUCGUAAAACUCUGUUCUAUGGGAAGAAAAUGACAGUACUAUACGAAUAAGGUCCGGCUAAUUACGUGCCAGCAGCCGCGGUAAUACGUAAGGACCGAGCGUUGUCCGGAAUCAUUGGGCGUAAAGGGUACGUAGGCGGUUAGAAAAGUUAGAAGUGAAAGGCUAUAGCUCAACUAUAGUAAGCUUUUAAAACUGUUUAACUUGAGAGAUGGAAGGGAAAGUGGAAUUACGAGUGUAGCGGUGAAAUGCGCAGAUAUUAGGAGGAAUACCGGUGGCGAAGGCGACUUGCUGGCCAUUAUCUGACGCUGAGGUACGAAAGCGUGGGUAGCAAACAGG
This 403-nucleotide ribosomal RNA is filed under the name Fusobacteriota bacterium. Its description in RNAcentral is "Fusobacteria bacterium partial 16S ribosomal RNA". It matches the Rfam family "Bacterial small subunit ribosomal RNA", at positions 355 to 776 of the family's 1533-position model. The record is from RNAcentral. Lineage: Bacteria; Fusobacteriati; Fusobacteriota.